ACUAGCACCAGCCCCGUGUGCACUCAGCCUGCCAAGACCACGGCCUUGUAAGGAUAAGUUACUUAAUUUAGUUUCACUUGGUCAUAAAGCAUGAGACAGCCUCAUUUACUGGCUUCUGCUUUUAAUGCUUUAUCAAGGAUAAGGAGGAACUUCUAAUCAUUUUUUUUGAAACUUUUAUAUGUGUUAAGUUUCCAGGGCAAUAGACAAAGACAGAUAAUCUACAGGGUAACUUCCCAACAAGAUAGUUCUGUCUUGCAAGUCAUCAGUGGGCCUGAAACAUCUGUACAAGAAGAGAUAUCUGUGGAUGCUAUGCAUGUCUUCAUUGAUGAACAUGGGGAAAUUAGAUCCUGUUAUUUAAAAUCUGGAAAUCAGAAAGAAGGCCCUUUACAGCCUCUACCAUCAAAUAAUGACUGUCUCUCUCAGGCUCGAGAGAUGCAGGUCAGCUCCUCCAGUACCACAACUUCUGAGAGUCAAGAUCCAUCUUCUGGGGACCCUGCUGUCAGUGCCCUUCAGCAACAGCUGUUACUGAUGGUGGCUCGCAGGACCCAGUCAGAAACCCCACGGCAUGUGAGUCAGGAUCUGGAAGCCUCGUCAUGUUCUUCAACACAAGGAAAAUUUAAUCGAGAGCAGUUUUACAAAUUUAUCGUUUUCCCUGGCAAGUGGAUUAAAGUCUGGUACGAUCGACUGACCUUGCUGGCAUUACUUGAUCGAACUGAAGACAUCAAGGAGAAUGUACUGGCGAUUUUACUCAUUGUCCUGGUUUCCCUCCUUGGAUUUCUGACCUUGAGCCAAGGCUUUUGCAAAGAUAUGUGGGUGCUCCUCUUCUGCCUCGUCAUGGCCAGCUGCCAGUACUCCCUGCUAAAGAGUGUUCAGCCUGACCCCGCCUCACCAAUACACGGACACAACCAAAUCAUAACAUAUAGCAGACCAAUCUAUUUUUGUGUGCUGUGUGGCCUUAUUUUGCUUCUUGAUACAGGGGCCAAAGCCAGGCACCCUCCCAGUUACGUUGUGUAUGGCCUGAAGCUCUUCUCUCCAGUGUUUCUACAAUCAGCUAGGGACUACUUAAUAGGGGAAAAUUAUGUACAGCCACAAAGACUUUUUAAUUUUUUACUUCUGGAAAAAAAAAGGACAAAAUAAUUUCAGCAAUUUCAAGUGUCAUUUUCCUAAAGUCCUGGUAACAUAACAAGCAUUUGGCUGCUUUUUCCUUCACGUUCACUGCAACCUGACAGAUGAGACACAUGGACUCCCUCUUCCUCCCAUUCCACCUCCACGACAUUUAUUUUAAAGACUAGAGCUUUCCUCCUCCAGGAUGUUUUGGAGAGGAUCUAGUGCAUGGACCUCCCUGUUGACUGCUGUUCUUCCUGUAUUGUUUCAUUAAGUUCCAAUUCUACACCCACAGCCAGAGCAUCUCCAGGGAUGACUUUCUGGUAUUUCUUACCAUUUUAUCUUCCUCAUGCCAUUUUUCAUUGUGUUCCAAUUCUUUUCAUUUCUUUGGGUUUUGUUGCAUUGGCUAAUGUAUUUCUUAUACAGAAUAUCUCUUUAUCCUUGAUUUACCAAAUAGCUCCCAAUAUCUGGCUUUGCCGUUCAUAUCAUUCCAUACCUAGACUUUUCCCUGUGGUUCUUCAUUCUCAGAGUAGUUUUUGUCACAUACACAUACAGCAUUUGGAAAGGCAAAUAAUAAAUCUCAUUGGACCUUCCCUCUGCCCUGAUCCAGAAUUGGCAGAUAUAGCAUAACACAAAAUUGUCAUUGCUGGAUUUUGACCCCAGAGUAAAGAGAAGCUCUUUUCAGUUUGUUUGAAAUUUUAUGGAAUUCUAUGGAUUAAAAUUUCUAUGCUC
RNAcentral lists this small RNA (1836 nucleotides) under Pongo abelii (Sumatran orangutan). RNAcentral describes it as "retained intron". The record is from RNAcentral. Lineage: Eukaryota; Metazoa; Chordata; Mammalia; Primates; Hominidae.